UACGUAGGGUGCAAGCGUUGUCCGGAAUUAUUGGGCGUAAAGAGCUCGUAGGCGGUUUGUCGCGUCGAAUGUGAAAACCCGGGGCUCAACCCCGGGCCUGCAUUCGAUACGGGCAGACUAGAGUUCGGUAGGGGAGUCUGGAAUUCCUGGUGUAGCGGUGAAAUGCGCAGAUAUCAGGAGGAACACCGGUGGCGAAGGCGGGACUCUGGGCCGAUACUGACGCUGAGGAGCGAAAGCGUGGGGAGCAAAC
This 250-nucleotide ribosomal RNA is filed under the name uncultured bacterium. RNAcentral describes it as "partial 16S ribosomal RNA". It matches the Rfam family "Bacterial small subunit ribosomal RNA", at positions 524 to 773 of the family's 1533-position model. The record is from RNAcentral.